Molecule: ribosomal RNA, 332 nt
Filed under: uncultured eukaryote
Lineage: Eukaryota
Description: partial 18S ribosomal RNA
Rfam family: Eukaryotic small subunit ribosomal RNA
Source: RNAcentral
CCCUUAGAUGUUCUGGGCUGCACGCGCGCUACACUGAUGCGCUCAACGAGUUUACGACCUUGCCCGGAAGGGUUGGGUAAUCUUUUUAAAACGCAUCGUGAUGGGGAUAGAUUAUUGCAAUUAUUAAUCUUUAACGAGGAAUUCCUAGUAAGCGCGAGUCAUCAGCUCGUGCUGAUUACGUCCCUGCCCUUUGUACACACCGCCCGUCGCUACUACCGAUUGAAUGGUUUAGUGAGAAUUUUGGACUGGAACUCCCUUGCUCAGCAAUGGGCGAGGGGGAGUCCGGGAAGCUAUUCUAACUGUAUCAUUUAGAGGAAGUAAAAGUCGUAACA